RNAcentral lists this ribosomal RNA (36 nucleotides) under Anomobryum filiforme. Its description in RNAcentral is "partial 26S ribosomal RNA". Lineage: Eukaryota; Viridiplantae; Streptophyta; Bryopsida; Bryales; Bryaceae. The record is from RNAcentral.
GACCUCUAAUCGGAGAAGACUACCCGCCGAGUUUAA